RNAcentral lists this ribosomal RNA (511 nucleotides) under Streptococcus equinus. Its description in RNAcentral is "bacterial SSU rRNA". It matches the Rfam family "Bacterial small subunit ribosomal RNA", at positions 402 to 904 of the family's 1533-position model. Lineage: Bacteria; Bacillati; Bacillota; Bacilli; Lactobacillales; Streptococcaceae. The record is from RNAcentral.
UGAGUGAAGAAGGGUUUCGGCUCGUAAAGCUCUGUUGUAAGAGAAGAACGUGUGUGAGAGUGGAAAGUUCACACAGUGACGGUAACUUACCAGAAAGGGACGGCUAACUACGUGCCAGCAGCCGCGGUAAUACGUAGGUCCCGAGCGUUGUCCGGAUUUAUUGGGCGUAAAGCGAGCGCAGGCGGUUUAAUAAGUCUGAAGUUAAAGGCAGUGGCUUAACCAUUGUUCGCUUUGGAAACUGUUAGACUUGAGUGCAGAAGGGGAGAGUGGAAUUCCAUGUGUAGCGGUGAAAUGCGUAGAUAUAUGGAGGAACACCGGUGGCGAAAGCGGCUCUCUGGUCUGUAACUGACGCUGAGGCUCGAAAGCGUGGGGAGCAAACAGGAUUAGAUACCCUGGUAGUCCACGCCGUAAACGAUGAGUGCUAGGUGUUAGGCCCUUUCCGGGGCUUAGUGCCGCAGCUAACGCAUUAAGCACUCCGCCUGGGGAGUACGGUCGCAAGACUGAAACUCAA